Molecule: RNA transcript, 2240 nt
Organism: Chenopodium quinoa (quinoa)
Lineage: Eukaryota; Viridiplantae; Streptophyta; Magnoliopsida; Caryophyllales; Amaranthaceae
Exons: 8
Source: RefSeq, a predicted model, not a curated record
GAGCUUUCUCACCUACAUUGAAGCAGCUUCGAGUAAUUUUAGGGUUGUGGUAAUCUAGGGUUUGUCAUUGAAGCGCGCACGGCUCCACCUUCACCACAACCACCUCCACCAUUAUUCAGCUUUGCAAAACCAGUCAUAAACUCAGCCCAUUCCUUCCUUCCUCUCUCCUUCUAACACUAUGAAUUCAUGAAAAUUAACUUCCAGUAGAUUCAAGCAUAAACGAAGUUCUUAUUUUCGUAUUUGAUUGGGAGAAUAAAAUGUAUUGAGCAUUUGGGUGAGAUUGAAACUCCAGAAAAAUGGCGGAAUGUGGGACUGUGCCAUCGAAUUUUAAGCUGCAAUUGCAAACAAAUGGGUCUUGGUUCAAACCCCAGAAUUCAUACCCGUAUCAUAAGAGAGCAAGAACUUAGGGAGGUUGGUAAACUUGAACAGGAUCUUGUCUUUGGUGAUGCUGGAACUAAAGAAGUUAUCAAAUUUGUAAGCAUGCAUACGGAUUUAAGCCAUGAGAAUAAGUUGCGAUUAUUGAUGGUUUAUGCAGCUAUUUACCCUAAGAAAUUUGAGGGUGACAAAGGUUCACAGUUGAUGCAGGCAUUUGAUUGGCUUCUUUCUUUUCCUAUCCCUAACCAUAUACACUGCAACUACAGUCUCAGAUGUUUCAGAUUACUACCCUCUGCAACACUUUGCUGAGAUGCUCAAUAAAGCUGGUUUGCAUGAUGUUCACUCAACGCUUGUAUAUUGCCUCACAUCCUUUUCUAAGAUGCCUGAUUUCGGUACACUAAGUGGUGAAUUGAUGGCAUCCCUUCCGUAUAUCAAUUCACUGUCAUCUGUUUCUAGGUGGCAUAUUAUGGAACAUUUGUCAAACUGCUUGCCUGAGCGUUUCUCUCAUUUAAAUGAGACUAAUGAUCCUUCCUUGUGGAGUGUGAAAGAUAAUUUGAUCAAUACAAUUGCACACCUCUAGCUCAGAUUUGAGUUGUACAUUUAAAACUUUUGGAAGUUGGAUGCGUACCUCUAGCUUUAGAAUCAUGAUUGUGAAAAAAAAAUUGUCAGACUGGAAAAAGGAGGUGCAAUUUAUAAGCCAGAAAGUGGAGGUGAUGCUAAUACAGAGAAGAAACAGAACAAAGUUAAUCAGGCUGAAAAUACAAAGAAAUUAUCUGAGGAAAAAAGGCUCAUGAAGAAGCAAGAAAGGUCGCGUAAAGCAGAAUUGAAGGAUGAAACCGCAAAACAGAAACAGUUGGCAAAAGAGAGGAAGAAGUUAGAGAAACAUAAGUUCAGUGAGAAAGACAUUGUGGCUGUGAUUGAUCCAAAGGUUCUGUCAGGUUUAGUUGGAGGUAGGCUUGGUAAGGGUAUACUCGUUAUCUCAUAAACACUUACCAUGCUGUGAGGUUUCUCAAAUUCCCUUGCAAUGGUGAUAUGGGCAUCCAGCCGAUUGUAAAACUGGAACACAAUCAAUAUAUAGACCCUAGCUUGACUGUUUGUGAUAGUAUUGUCUCUAAAAAUCUAAUAUGCACAAUAAAUAUAUUGACCUACCUUGAUGGUUUGUGAUAGUAAUCUCUUUGAAAAUCUAAUAUUUAUAUCUUACUUGAGAUUGUCCUACAUGUUCACCAGCACAGCACCACAACAGCUCACCAGUACCGCAACACAGAGGACCACGCAGCAGCAGCAGCAGAACCCAGUAAACACAGCAGCCUGACCCAGAGCAGCCAAACCAGCAAGCAACACAACACUACAGCAUAGUAGCAAACACCCAGCACAUCCUGACCAGAGCAGAACAGAAACACAGCAACUCAAGAACUCAAACCAGUCACCCAGCCAGCCAAAAAAUAACAGAGACUUAGCCACAGAAGCAAACAGAUGCCCAGCCAGCCUGAACAGAAACAGCAGCACAACAAACACUAGAGCAGUAGGUCAGCCUGAACACACAACAACACAGCAGAACAGAAGCAAAACCAAUCAUCCAGCCAGCCUGGACAAAGCAAAAACACAGCCACAAAAGCAGAACAGACGCCCAGCAAGCCUAAACAGGACAGAGGCACAGCAAGCGCAACAGAACAGAAACAGCAGCACAACAAACAGCAGAGCAGCCUGUCAGCCUGAACACACAACAACCAGCAGAGUAGCCACCAGCAUAAGACCAGGAUAACUAGUUAAAUGAAAUGCAAGAAAGGUACUCACAGAUAAGUCUGGAUUAUUUAAUUUUUUUUGGACGAAAAUUGUAAUAUUACAGCCUUUUUUUAAUGAAAAUA